This 237-nucleotide ribosomal RNA is filed under the name uncultured bacterium. RNAcentral's name for it is "partial 16S ribosomal RNA". It matches the Rfam family "Bacterial small subunit ribosomal RNA", at positions 1264 to 1500 of the family's 1533-position model. The record is from RNAcentral.
GAAGCAAAUCCCGAAAAAGUAGUCUCAGUUCGGAUCGCAGGCUGCAACCCGCCUGCGUGAAGUCGGAAUUGCUAGUAAUCGCAGAUCAGCAUGCUGCGGUGAAUACGUUCCCGGGCCUUGUACACACCGCCCGUCACACCAUGGGAGUCGGUAACACCCGAAGCCAGUAGCUGAACCGCAAGGGAGGCGCUGUCGAAGGUGGGAUUGAUGACUGGGGUGAAGUCGUAACAAGGUACC